This 890-nucleotide ribosomal RNA is filed under the name Pseudoteratosphaeria africana. RNAcentral's name for it is "partial 28S ribosomal RNA". It matches the Rfam family "Eukaryotic large subunit ribosomal RNA", at positions 38 to 960 of the family's 3401-position model. Lineage: Eukaryota; Fungi; Ascomycota; Dothideomycetes; Mycosphaerellales; Teratosphaeriaceae. The record is from RNAcentral.
GCAUAUCAAUAAGCGGAGGAAAAGAAACCAACAGGGAUUGCCCUAGUAACGGCGAGUGAAGCGGCAACAGCUCAAAUUUGAAAUCUGGCGCAAGCCCGAGUUGUAAUUUGUAGAGGAUGCUUCAGGGCAGCGGCCGGUCUAAGUUCCUUGGAACAGGACGUCAUAGAGGGUGAGAAUCCCGUAUGCGACCGGUUGGCACCCGUCACGUAGCUCCUUCGACGAGUCGAGUUGUUUGGGAAUGCAGCUCUAAAUGGGAGGUAAAUUCCUUCUAAAGCUAAAUACCGGCCAGAGACCGAUAGCGCACAAGUAGAGUGAUCGAAAGAUGAAAAGCACUUUGGAAAGAGAGUUAAAAAGCACGUGAAAUUGUUGAAAGGGAAGCGCAUGCAACCAGACUCGACGGCGGUGUUCCGCCGGUCUUCUGACCGGUCUACUCGCCGCCGUCGGGCCAGCAUCACUUGGGGGCGCCGGACAAAGGCGCGGGGAAUGUGGCUCUUCGGAGUGUUAUAGCCCCGCGCACAAUACGGCGACCCUCGAGUGAGGUCCGCGCUUCGGCUAGGAUGCUGGCGUAAUGGUUGUAUGCGGCCCGUCUUGAAACACGGACCAAGGAGUCUACCAUCUAUGCGAGUGUUCGGGUGUCAAACCCCUACGCGUAAUGAAAGUGAACGGAGGUGGGAACCGCAAGGUGCACCAUCGACCGAUCCUGAUGUCUUCGGAUGGAUUUGAGUAAGAGCAUAGCUGGUGGGACCCGAAAGAUGGUGAACUAUGCCUGAAUAGGGUGAAGCCAGAGGAAACUCUGGUGGAGGCUCGCAGCGGUUCUGACGUGCAAAUCGAUCGUCAAAUUUGGGUAUAGGGGCGAAAGACUAAUCGAACCAUCUAGUAGCUGGUUCCUG